AGAGUUUGAUCCUGGCUCAGGAUGAACGCUGGCGGCGUGCUUAACACAUGCAAGUCGAACGGAGUUUUUAAACGGAAGUUUUCGGAUGGAAGUUUAAGAACUUAGUGGCGGACGGGUGAGUAACGCGUGGGUAACCUGCCUCAUACAGGGGGAUAACAGUUAGAAAUGACUGCUAACACCGCAUAAUAUAGUGAAACCGCAUGAUUUUUGCUAUCAAAUAUUUAUAGGUAUGAGAUGGGCCCGCGUCUGAUUAGCUAGUUGGUGGGGUAAAAGCCUACCAAGGCGACGAUCAGUAGCCGGCUUGAGAGAGUGACCGGCCACAUUGGGACUGAGACACGGCCCAAACUCCUACGGGAGGCAGCAGUGGGGAAUAUUGGACAAUGGGGGAAACCCUGAUCCAGCCGACGCCGCGUGAGUGAAGAAGUAUUUCGGUAUGUAAAGCUCUAUCAGCAGGGAAGAUAAUGACAGUACCUGACUAAGAAGCCCCGGCUAACUACGUGCCAGCCGCCGC
Molecule: ribosomal RNA, 511 nt
Filed under: uncultured bacterium
Lineage: Bacteria
Description: bacterial SSU rRNA
Rfam family: Bacterial small subunit ribosomal RNA
Source: RNAcentral